UGGGGAAUAUUGCACAAUGGGCGAAAGCCUGAUGCAGCAACGCCGCGUGCGGGAUGACGGCCUUCGGGUUGUAAAACCGCUUUCAAGCAGGGACGAAGGUUUUCUGACGGUACCUGCAGAAGAAGCACCGGCUAACUACGUGCCAGCAGCCGCGGUGAUACGUAGGGUGCGAGCGUUGUCCGGAAUUAUUGGGCGUAAAGAGCUUGUAGGCGGUCCGUUGCGUCGGAAAGUGAAAACUCAGGGGCUUAAUCCCUGAGCCUGCUUUCGAUACGGGCGGACUUGAGGGAUGUAGGGAGAAACGGAAUUCCUGGUGGAGCGGUGGAAUGCGCAGAUAUCAGGAGGAACACCAGUGGCGAAGGCGGUUCUCUGGACAUUUCCUGACGCUGAGAAGCGAAAGCGUGGGGNGCAAACAGGCUUAGAUACCCUGGUAGUCCACGCCGUAAACGGUGGGCACUAGGUGUGGGACCCA
Molecule: ribosomal RNA, 469 nt
Filed under: uncultured bacterium
Lineage: Bacteria
Description: partial 16S ribosomal RNA
Rfam family: Bacterial small subunit ribosomal RNA
Source: RNAcentral